This 254-nucleotide ribosomal RNA is filed under the name uncultured bacterium. RNAcentral describes it as "partial 16S ribosomal RNA". It matches the Rfam family "Bacterial small subunit ribosomal RNA", at positions 524 to 776 of the family's 1533-position model. The record is from RNAcentral.
UACGUAGGGUGCGAGCGUUGUCCGGAAUUAUUGGGCGUAAAGAGCUUGUAGGCGGUCUGUCGCGUCUGCUGUGAAAAUCCGGGGCUCAACCCCGGACUUGCAGUGGGUACGGGCAGACUAGAGUGUGGUAGGGGAGACUGGAAUUCCUGGUGUAGCGGUGAAAUGCGCAGAUAUCAGGAGGAACACCGGUGGCGAAGGCGGAUCUCUGGGCCUGUUCUGACGCUGAGGCGCGAAAGCUAGGGGGAGCGAACAGG